GCCAGGCGUGGUGGCGCGUGCCUGUAAUCCCAGCUACUCAGGAGGCUGAGGCAGGAGAAUCGCUUGAACCCAGGAGGUGGAGGUUGCAGUGAGCCGAGAUCACGCCACUGCACUCCAGCCUGGGUGACAGAGUGAGACUCCGUCUCAA
Non-coding RNA from Pan troglodytes (chimpanzee), 148 nucleotides. It matches the Rfam family "Metazoan signal recognition particle RNA". From Rfam's summary of the family: The signal recognition particle (SRP) is a universally conserved ribonucleoprotein. It is involved in the co-translational targeting of proteins to membranes. NCBI's taxonomy places the organism in Eukaryota, Metazoa, Chordata, Mammalia, Primates, Hominidae. The record is from Rfam.